CAUAAAAUUUACUAGUCGAACUGGUUUUUUUAACAGCUUUACUGUGGUGUGAUUUACAUAUAAAAAAAUCACAGUAUUUAGUAUCCUGUUCAGUGAGUUUUGGCCAAAUCUAUAGUCCUUUGAUCCCACCUCAGCCCCAGGCAAUCACUGAUCUUUCUGCCAUGGUUUUACCUUUUCUAGAAAUUUAUAUAAAUGGAAAUACACAGUAUGCAGCCUUUGGGGUAUGGCUUCUUUUAAUUAGCGUGCUGUUUUUCAGUAAUUUCUCUUUACUGCCAAGUACUCUCGUAAGGUAUUGCAUUUUGUUUAUCCAUUCAGGUUUGAAGGACGUUUGGGCUGUUUUCAGUUUGGGUUAUUAUGAAUAAUGUUGGCUAUUAGUGAAUUACUUUUGUAUUUUUCGGGGUUUUUUUCCCCAAACUGAAUUACAUACAACUUGAACUUGAGUAUACUGUCUUGAGUGUUCAGUAUAAAUAGGCUAAUUGGAAAUCCACACGUUCAUCCACGUACUAAUUGUAGUUAACCAUAAUGUGGACUAGUAUGCACCCAUAGGUGUUGUUUUGAUGAGUUGCUGAUAACCUGGUGGUAAAAUACAAUAUGAUGUGAGCAAGAUAAAAAACUAAAAGCUAUCCCCAAUGUAUUCAGUGCUUCAAAUGGGAAAUAGUGUUGCCUGCGUGUCCCGAGACCUCCAUACCACCCCAGCCACUGCCCCAUCAUUUUGGUGGUUUUGGCAGCAAAACUGCUCACACUUCAUUCGAGCUCACUGUUCCUCAUCUUUCCUGCGCCAUUGUCAAGAGUUUUUAUCAAAGUUAGACACACACAUACUUGAGCAAGCCCCAGAUUUCUACCCCUACCUCUAUUUUCUCUUCCUCAGAGGAACUAAUUUCACUUCCUCCAGGUCAUUUUAAAAAACUGUUUAUCUCCAGAUUUUCAAAUACCAUGUUUACAUAUCAGCUUUUUUUUCUUCAUCAUUGACUUUCUACCAUAAAAGAUGAAAAUUUAGCUUUUUUUCAUCUCUCCCCCAACUUCUACCCCGUGUACUCAGCCCUUCUGACAACCAGGUUGCUCAUGUGUCCCUGAGCUCCCUGUACGCUGUGGGUUUUGUGAGACCAGUGUUCCCGUUACCUGUGCACGGGGGCAGCGCUCGGUGUGUUGGCAGCCGGCCCGGGUGAUGACCGUGAUUCUGUGAUUAUUCUGUCUGCCCUUUACCACUUUGUUUUCACUUGAAAAAAUUCUUACUCACGUUUGUGCUUUCUUAUUAUCAGUACAAUUGAGUAAAAAGCUGUAUGUCAUCGUAUCUCCCCACGGUGUAUCUGGGUGCAUCACACGUUUGAGCAGCCUCUCCUGGAGCCUGCUUCCUCAGAAGCGCUGCUACCCUCUCUGCCUGGUUCUCCUUUCACCUGUGCUCUUCCGCUGUGUGAAUCCCUUGGUUGUUGGGUUCUCUUCCCUGAGUAUUUCUUAAGGUUCUUUUGUUUUUCUUUUUUAAUUUGAAAUUUCAUGUAUUGCGAAAUGAGCACCACAGUAGGUCUGGUUAACACCCAUCACCACAGUUACAAAUUUGUUGUUUUGUGUGUGAAACUUUUAAGAUUUAUUCUUAGCAACUUUCCAUCGUGUAGCACGGUGUUAUUGGCUAGAUUGACACGCUGUUACCGUAUAUCCCCGGGACUUCUUUUCUAACUGAAAGUUUGUGCUGUUUGACCCCCUUCACUCAAGUUGCACACCCUGCCACCCCUGAGUACUCCUCAUUUUGGUGCCAUACAUAGUCGAUGAGCUAGCUUAGCUAAUAUUUUUUAAGAACUUCUAGUUCCAAAGGUGUCCUCUCUCCUGGCCGACUAUACAGUUCUGUUCUGUAUAUUCUCAAUGACAUCCAUUGAGAAUUUUGAAGACAUUGCUAUAUCCAGGCUUUCAGUGUUGCUGUUGAGAGGUCCAACGCCAUUUUUAUACCUGAUUCUUUGAGCAUCCUAGCUGGCAGUUGUAUUCUCUUCAUCCAGUGUGUUCUGAAAUUUCAUAAUGCUAUGUGUUAGCGUGGGUCUAUUUUUAUUCAUCUUACUGGGCCCUUUCAAACUAGACACUCAUUUUCUACAAUUUUCAGAAAUUUUCUUGAAUUACUUUGGUCUCGCUUUUCUUUCCCCCUUCCUAUCUGGAAUUCCUUCCUGUAACUAUAUUCUUAAUACCAUAUCCUUGAUUUAUGGGUGCAUGAAAAUAGCUUUUCUGACCUUACUGAUGUGAUUUUGUUUUUGCUGUUUCAUUCUUUUUCCCCCGGUCUCCAUUUCUCUUUCUUCACCUUGCUGGUUGUAGCCUCUGUUGUUUGUAGUAGAUGCUUCCGUCGGAUUCUGGAGAUCCUCUGUGUGUGUGCCAUAUGUACAAGAGGGAGGCAAUAAAGAGCAGACCAGAAGCCCUGAGCUCAUGGGGUCUGGAGCGUGGGGGACGCCAGCUGGCCAUAGGCUUCGCUUAGGGAAAGUUCACAUCCUUGGCUCUUUCCAAAACAUCAAGAUGGCAAGAACUGCCAUUUGCAACCUCAUUCUGGGAAAUCCUCCAUCAAAGGUUUA
Mustela erminea (ermine) is the source of this 2543-nucleotide long non-coding RNA. RefSeq lists it as uncharacterized. The record is from RefSeq and is a predicted model, not a curated record. The transcript is spliced from 3 exons. Lineage: Eukaryota; Metazoa; Chordata; Mammalia; Carnivora; Mustelidae.